CCCUUAGAUGUUCUGGGCUGCACGCGCGCUACACUGAUGCAUCCAGCGAGUUGUACCCUUGCUUGGUAAAGUUUGGUAAUCUGAGGCUAAUGUGCAUCGUGAUGGGAAUAGAGUUUUGCAACUAUUAGUCUUGAACGAGGAAUUCCUCGUAAGCACGAGUCAUCAGCUUGUGCUGAUUACGUCCCUGCCCUUUGUACACACCGCCCGUCGCUCCUACCGAUUGAAUGGUCCGGUGAAGCGUUCGGACCGUGGCCUUUGGACGGUUCGCCGUCUGUUGGCUGCGGGAAGUUCGUUAAACCUUAUCAUUUAGAGGAAGGAGAAGUCGUAACA
This 330-nucleotide ribosomal RNA is filed under the name uncultured eukaryote. RNAcentral's name for it is "partial 18S ribosomal RNA". It matches the Rfam family "Eukaryotic small subunit ribosomal RNA", at positions 1470 to 1796 of the family's 1831-position model. The record is from RNAcentral.